This 492-nucleotide ribosomal RNA is filed under the name uncultured bacterium. RNAcentral describes it as "partial 16S ribosomal RNA". It matches the Rfam family "Bacterial small subunit ribosomal RNA", at positions 29 to 507 of the family's 1533-position model. The record is from RNAcentral.
AGUGAACGCUGGCGGUAGGCCUAACACAUGCCAGUCGAACGGCAGCACAGUAAGAGCUUGCUCUUACGGGUGGCGAGUGGCGGACGGGUGAGGAAUACAUCGGAAUCUACUUUUUCGUGGGGGAUAACGUAGGGAAACUUACGCUAAUACCGCAUACGACCUACGGGUGAAAGCAGGGGAUCUUCGGACCUUGCGCGAUUGAAUGAGCCGAUGUCGGAUUAGCUAGUUGGCGGGGUAAAGGCCCACCAAGGCGACGAUCCGUAGCUGGUCUGAGAGGAUGAUCCGCCACACUGGAACUGAGACACGGUCCAGACUCCUACGGGAGGCAGCGGUGGGGAAUAUUGGACGAUGGGCGCAAGCCUGAUCCAGCCAUACCGCGUGGGUGAAGAAGGCCUUCGGGUUGUAAAGCCCUUUUGUUGGGAAAGAAAAGCAGCAGGUUAAUACCCCGCUGUUCUGACGGUACCCAAAGAAUAAGCACCGGCUAACUUCGUG